AUUGAACCGCUGGCCGGCAUGCUUUACCACAUGCAAGUCGAACGGCAGCAACGGGAGCAAUCCUGGGUGGCGAGUGGCGAACGGGGUGAGUAAUAUAUCGGAACGUGCCUUAUAGUGGGGGAUAACGCAGCGAAAGUUGCGGUAAUCCCGCAUACGCCCUGAGGGGGAAAGCGGGGGAUCGAAAGACCUCGCGCUACUAGAGCGGCCGAUAUCUGAUUAGCUUGUUGGUGAGGUAAAGGCUCACCAAGGCUUCGAUCAGUAGCUGGUCUGAGAGGACGAUCAGCCACACUGGGACUGAGACACGGCCCAGACUCCUACGGGAGGCAGCAGUGGGGAAUUUUGGACAAUGGGGGCAACCCUGAUCCAGCAAUGCCGCGUGAGUGAAGAAGGCCUUCGGGUUGUAAAGCUCUUUUGUCAGGGAAGAAACAGCAGCUCUAACACAGCUGUGAAUGACGGUACCUGAAGAAUAAGCACCGGCUAACUACGUGCCAGCAGCCGCGGUAAUACGUAGGGUGCAAGCGUUAAUCGGAAUUACUGGGCGUAAAGCGUGCGCAGGCGGUUAUACAAGACAGGCGUGAAAUCCCCGGGCUUAACCUGGGAAUUGCGUCUGUGACUGUAUGGCUAGAGUGUGUCAGAGGGGGGUAGAAUUCCACGUGUAGCAGUGAAAUGCGUAGAUAUGUGGAGGAAUACCAAUGGCGAAGGC
Molecule: ribosomal RNA, 703 nt
Filed under: Pseudomonadota bacterium
Lineage: Bacteria; Pseudomonadati; Pseudomonadota
Description: bacterial SSU rRNA
Rfam family: Bacterial small subunit ribosomal RNA
Source: RNAcentral